GGGUGAUAUGAUGUCAUACCAUCUUUCGGGACUGACUCUUAAUGGAGAGAUUCUUUUAUUUUUACUGAUCACCA
Small nucleolar RNA from Scophthalmus maximus (turbot), 74 nucleotides. NCBI's taxonomy places the organism in Eukaryota, Metazoa, Chordata, Actinopteri, Pleuronectiformes, Scophthalmidae. The record is from Ensembl.